Molecule: ribosomal RNA, 445 nt
Filed under: uncultured bacterium
Lineage: Bacteria
Description: partial 16S ribosomal RNA
Rfam family: Bacterial small subunit ribosomal RNA
Source: RNAcentral
GUGAGGAAUAUUGCGCAAUGGAGGCAACUCUGACGCAGCCAUGCCGCGUGCAGGAAGAAGGCGCUACGCGUUGUAAACUGCUUUUAACCGGGAAGAAACCCCAGGACGUGUCCUGGGUUGACGGUACCGGAGGAAUAAGCACCGGCUAACUUCGUGCCAGCAGCCGCGGUAAUACGAAGGGUGCAAGCGUUAUCAGGAUUCAUUGGGUUUAAAGGGUGCGUAGGCGGAGCGUUAAGUCAGUGGUGAAAUCCUGCAGCUUAACUGUAGACUUGCCAUUGAUACUGGCGCUCUUGAGUGCGCUUGAAGUGGGCGGAAUGUGCCGUGUAGCGGUGAAAUGCUUAGAUAUGGCACAGAACACCAAUUGCGAAGGCAGCUCACUAAGGCGAUACUGACGCUGAGGCACGAAAGCGUGGGGAUCGAACAGGAUUAGAAACCCGUGUAGUCC